This is a long non-coding RNA of Electrophorus electricus (electric eel), 476 nucleotides long. RefSeq lists it as uncharacterized. NCBI's taxonomy places the organism in Eukaryota, Metazoa, Chordata, Actinopteri, Gymnotiformes, Gymnotidae. The record is from RefSeq and is a predicted model, not a curated record.
GUAGGUUCGUCUACCAGUCAUGUUCCAAAGUUUGUCCUAUUACUUAUUAUGCUCCGUCUCACCGUUUUUGGCAGAUUUCACCACGUUAUUACGGAACGUGGAUACGUUAACUCAUACUGAGAUGUGAAGCUUAGUGAAUCACACGUGGAGAAUUUCUAACAAAUAGCCUGUUUUGUAUAGACUGGCUAUCUGCCCUCUCGGUGAGAUUAAAUGCGGUUGCUAAACUUGUUGCAGUGUUUUGUCCUUUCUGUUGUUUCUGAUUGGAACAAACACCAAAGUUUUGCAGCUCUUGUGGGUGUAAUGUACAGUUUUUAGAAGAAGCCAAAUCUGCACUGUCUGUAUCUACGGUUGAGGACUGUGGACCAUCUCAUGGCACAGAAUGAUUUGUGUACAGGGCUUCAGCAAAGGACCCUGGGUAAGCUUUGAUGGACCUCAGGGGAAGAUAUAUGACCUCUCCACCAGGCUCAGGACCAGGU